Molecule: long non-coding RNA, 2431 nt
Organism: Callithrix jacchus (white-tufted-ear marmoset)
Lineage: Eukaryota; Metazoa; Chordata; Mammalia; Primates; Cebidae
Source: Ensembl
GAAUGACUCCCACAACGUGAGAGACCUGGGGAGCUGGGAGCAGCUCUUUAGAAAAUGAAUGACAACAAACCCAGAGCCUCGACAAGACCUAAAACACCACAAACCUCCUUAAAUAACAGGGGAAAUGGCAUUUCCUAAGCCAGCCAGAGACACCAGCCAGUUAUGAUGGUGAAUGUUAGGUGUCAAGCUGACUGGAUGAAGGGAUGCCUGGAGGACCACAGAAGCAAUGUUUCUGGAGUACCUGUCUGGAGGAGGAAGAGGAGGAGGAGCCAGGAGGCAUCCAGCAGAACCAUCAGGCUCCGGACCGUGGUGAACGUCCCAGCACCCCAGUCUCCACUGGCCCCAGGCCGAACUCCACUUGGAAGUGCUGCCCACAGCUCCCCUUGGUAGGAAAAACAACCAGGGAAGGAAGAAAGCACCGACAGGGAGAACACCGCUGGUGGGGACGAGGCCAAGCCUGCCCUGGAGGGCAAGUGUGGACUCCGGCUCCAUUGCUUCCAAGGGCGCCAGCGCCCAGCACACGGUCCCACAGGGCCCAGUCCCCAGCCAACUGUCCCAGACACACUACAGGCCACGGCCUCUAUGAGGCAAAGGGCAUGGCUCAGUUGCAGAGACGAGAAGCAGCAAGGUCCCAGAGUGGCAGGGCCCCAGGGCACAUUCAGUGCUGACACCCUGCACACACGGCUUGACCCUCUCCAAGGACCUUUGAGGGUGGUACUGUCACCGCCAUUUUACAAAUGGGACUUAGAGAAGCUGAGUUACUUGGGUGAGGCUGCACCCAGGAAUGGCAGGGCUGGAACUCAAAGCCAGCCUACAGGGUGCAAGUCCACGUGCUCAGCCACCCGCUGUGUCUCCCAAAGGCACAGCCAUUGCAUCUUUUUUUUUUUCUCACUCUGUCACUUGGGCUAAAGUACAAUGGCACAAUCGCUGCUCACUCCAGCCCUCACCUCCCAGGUUCAAGCGAUUCUCCUGCCUCAGCCUCCUGAGUAGCUUGGAUUACAGACACCCACUGCCACGCUAAUUUUUGUUUUCUUAUUAGAGACAGGUUUCAUCAUGUUGGCCAGGCCGAUUUCAAACUCCUGACCUCAAAUGAUCUGCCUGCAUCGGCCUCCCAAAAUGCUGGGAUUACAGGCCUGGGCCACCACACCCAGCCCAGACAUUGCAUCUAAUGAAGAGAAAAACUAGCCGCUGCCAUCUCUGUGUGAAAGUCUGGACUUGUUUCAAGCAACACCAGUGGGGGCAGCGGUGGCCGUGACCUGCACUUCACGAACACCUCCUGUGGGCUUCCCCCAGGCUCCUCAGCACAGUCUGGGGGUCUGCACAGUGACAUCACCUCCAUUCCCAGCACCCCACACCGUCACUCAUGGUCCAAACCCACCGUCCAUUCCUAGCUCCCCCAUGAGUGAUGCCACAGCUUGGCCAGCACCACUGCUGACCACCACGGUGAGACAUGGGCAGACCGAGGCCAGCGCAAGCAGCAGUCCCUCAGAACCGCAGCUGCCUCACGGGAAACCACGGAUGGUGACAAGGGCCACCCAUUUGCAAACUGAUUGGCUGUUGGGGUCCGGCACAUCUGCUGGGGGGCUACCGACCUGCGGGAGUCCCCGAGACCACCAAUGUAGAUGUCUCAUUCAACCUGAGGGAGAGAGCGCGCGGAAGUGAAAGAAGAAAGUAAAGCGGAGCCUGGAGGUCUGAAUGACUUGUAGUCAAGCAGCAACUUUAUUUUUAUGAGUUACAGCUUUUAUACCUUUUUUCUUGUUACAUUUACUUUAGCUCAGCAGAAAAGGGGGGUAAACAGAAAAGGGAACAGAAAUCACGUAAAAAUAGUUAUCAGGGGCUUGUGAUAACAGCUCACAAAGCAGUUUUAAGGGGGCUUGUGAUAAUAGCUUACAAAGCAGUUUAAGAGUUAAUAUAUGUUUUUCAAAGAUACACAGUGCAAGCAAACAAUGGUGCCCUUAAGGUGGCUUGUUAAUCAUGUUUUCCAUCAGGAGGUAGAACAGAGGCUCAGCUCCUGAGAAAAUAUGGGCAGGGGUCUCUGCCCCUCUCAGGCAUCUCAAUUGCAGCAAGCCUAUUGCUUACACAGAGACUAAAGGGGAUAUGAAGCAGUCAGCACAAUGUCCUCAUAAACCGCAGGCCCUUACUCUGCAUUCUGUUUUUGCCUCAGUGGCUUAGCCAUUUUUACCUCUACUUGACAGCCCUCGAGAGCAGGGGGAGAGCAGAUAGGUCCAGCAGCCAAGAUGGGGCGAGUCACGCUAACUGUAUCAAGCCCUUGGUGCAAACACUGCACUUGGCCACACAGCUGGCACAUUGACUAAUAAGAGUUUAAUCCAAAUUCAUGUAUGUCUUACCUCACUGCAUUCCACCUCAGCAAAUUAAAAGCAAAAUGAAAUUAUAUACUGAAUGCACCGCAUUUUAACUGUGGGCCAAGAAG